This 250-nucleotide ribosomal RNA is filed under the name uncultured bacterium. RNAcentral describes it as "partial 16S ribosomal RNA". It matches the Rfam family "Bacterial small subunit ribosomal RNA", at positions 524 to 773 of the family's 1533-position model. The record is from RNAcentral.
UACGAAGGGGGCUAGCGUUGCUCGGAUUUACUGGGCGUAAAGGGCGCGUAGGCGGACACUUAAGUCAGGGGUGAAAUCCCGGGGCUCAACCUCGGAACUGCCUUUGAUACUGGGUGUCUUGAGUGUGAGAGAGGUGUGUGGAACUCCGAGUGUAGAGGUGAAAUUCGUAGAUAUUCGGAAGAACACCAGUGGCGAAGGCGACACACUGGCUCAUUACUGACGCUGAGGCGCGAAAGCGUGGGGAGCAAAC